CCUACGGGAGGCAGCAGUGGGGAAUAUUGCACAAUGGGCGCAAGCCUGAUGCAGCGAUGCCGCGUGAGUGAAGAAGGCCUUCGGGUUGUAAAGCUCUAUCAGCCGGGAAGAAAAUGACGGUACUUGUAUCCUUAUCCACUGCUAACUACGGCCCAGCAGCCGCGGUCUUACGGAGGGGGCAAGCGUUAUACGGAACUACUGGGGGGAGAGGGAGCGUAGACGGCUGAACGAGUCAGGCAUGAAAUCCCGGGGCUUAACCCGGGAACUGCUGUGGAGACUGGUCAGCUAGAGUGCAGCAGAGGUGGGUGGAAUGCCAUGUGUAGCGGUGAAAUGCGGAGAGAUGAGGAGGAACACCAGUGGCGAAGGCGGCUUACUGGAC
This 379-nucleotide ribosomal RNA is filed under the name uncultured bacterium. RNAcentral describes it as "partial 16S ribosomal RNA". It matches the Rfam family "Bacterial small subunit ribosomal RNA", at positions 338 to 734 of the family's 1533-position model. The record is from RNAcentral.